AUUGAACGCUGGCGGCAUGCCUUACACAUGCAAGUCGAACGGCAGCACGGGAGCAAUCCUGGUGGCGAGUGGCGAACGGGUGAGUAAUGUAUCGGAACGUGCCCAGUCGUGGGGGAUAACGUAGCGAAGGCUACGCUAAUACCGCAUACGAUCUAUGGAUGAAAGCGGGGGAUCGCAAGACCUCGCGCGAUUGGAGCGGCCGAUAUCAGAUUAGGUAGUUGGUGGGGUAAAGGCUCACCAAGCCGACGAUCUGUAGCUGGUCUGAGAGGACGAGCAGCCACAAUGGGGCUGAGACACGGCGCAGACUCCUACGGGAGGCAGCAGUGGGGAAUUUUGGACAAUGGGCGCAAGCCUGAUCCAGCAAUGCCGCGUGCAGGAUGAAGGCCUUCGGGUUGUAAACUGCUUUUGUACGGAACGAAACGGCGAGCUCUAAUACAGUUUGCUAAUGACGGUACCGUAAGAAUAAGCACCGGCUAACUACGUGCCAGCCGCCGCCGUAA
RNAcentral lists this ribosomal RNA (500 nucleotides) under uncultured bacterium. RNAcentral describes it as "partial 16S ribosomal RNA". It matches the Rfam family "Bacterial small subunit ribosomal RNA", at positions 30 to 523 of the family's 1533-position model. The record is from RNAcentral.